UAGGGAAUCUUCCACAAUGGACGCAAGUCUGAUGGAGCAACGCCGCGUGAGUGAUGAAGGGUUUCGGCUCGUAAAACUCUGUUGUUGGAGAAGAACAGGUGCCAGAGUAACUGUUGACAUCUUGACGGUAUCCAACCAGAAAGCCACGGCUAACUACGUGCCAGCAGCCGCGGUAAUACGUAGGUGGCAAGCGUUGUCCGGAUUUAUUGGGCGUAAAGCGAGCGCAGGCGGUUUCUUAGGUCUGAUGUGAAAGCCUUCGGCUUAACCGGAGAAGUGCAUCGGAAACCAGGAGACUUGAGUGCAGAAGAGGACAGUGGAACUCCAUGUGUAGCGGUGAAAUGCGUAGAUAUAUGGAAGAACACCAGUGGCGAAGGCGGCUGUCUGGUCUGUAACUGACGCUGAGGCUCGAAAGCAUGGGUAGCGAACAGGAUUAGAUACCCUGGUAGUCCAUGCCGUAAACGAUGAGUGCUAAGUGUUGGAGGGUUUCCGCCCUUCAGU
Molecule: ribosomal RNA, 498 nt
Filed under: uncultured bacterium
Lineage: Bacteria
Description: partial 16S ribosomal RNA
Rfam family: Bacterial small subunit ribosomal RNA
Source: RNAcentral